Molecule: long non-coding RNA, 1277 nt
Organism: Salvia splendens (bonfire salvia)
Lineage: Eukaryota; Viridiplantae; Streptophyta; Magnoliopsida; Lamiales; Lamiaceae
Exons: 2
Source: RefSeq, a predicted model, not a curated record
AAAAGUUAAAUAAUAAUAAUAAUAAUAAUAAUAAUAAUAAUAAUAAUAAUAAUAAUUUGCAGCCUUUAUUUGAUUUGGGUUAAUGUUACGGUGAAGUUCAGUUUUUGUUCACAGUUAUUCCUUGUCCAUUGUAGCAUUUUUCCUUUAUAAUCAUAGGAAUUUAUGGCUUCAUAUCAAAAGAAGUUCCCCAUAAAUAAUUGAUCCUACUUCUGAAGACUCCAUUUUUAUGCACACAGUUUCAUUUUUUUUAUCAUUAACUAUACUGAUGACUUUACUUGGUUUUCAAAUGCAUCAAAGCUGUCCCAUUAGUAACAGCAGCUUAGUCAUAGUAUUAGAAUAUUUCUAUUUCAGUAUGAGCUAAACAUCCUGUCAAAGUACAUAGCAGCCAGCCAAUACAGGGCAUGUAGAUUUACACUCGUCGUUCUAGUUUCUUGGUUAACUAUAAGGAGGGUAGGAGCCUCUGAGCAAGGUGAUGAACAAACUCAAUUAUACGGGAUCCAUGCAGUACGAUAUGAAAUGAAAUGAAAUCAAAUCUAUGGUGUUUGGCAUUAUGAAUGCCAAAAAUUCUCAUUUUGGUUAUUCUUUUCUCUCACACCUCCAAAGCGUAUUGUUUCCCAGGCUACCAAGUGGGAAUCGCAUGCCUAGGAAAGUGCUGCUCAAGAAUGUCAAUGGACGGGAUAAAUGGAUGGAUAUUUUUAGAUUAUGCAGAUGAAGUAAAUUCUGCGUUCUGUUCUAUGGGAAGCAUUGGAUGUUACAGAUCCUUUCAUAUCAGUAGGACUGCUGCUUCUCGACACUAGGGUUCAUUUAUACAUUAGCAUGCUACGAAUGCUGUUUGUCUCGUUUGGAGUCCUUACAGCUGUUUUGCCUCCUGUUGAGGAGCCAAUGAAUCAGGUAUUAACUCAGCUUUUGCUUGUAAGGCAACUGUGGUUUGAUUUAUUGCUGUGUUUCUCAUGUUCUGAAGUCUUCACUAUAAUAAAUUAUUCCUACCAACUAUUUUCGACAAUUCGCGUUAGGCUUUACGUUGCAGCAAAUCUCAACUUUGCCAACGAAAUGGAACAAAAAUUUAGUGGUGAAGACCUUUUUGCUACUCUCUAUGUCAAUAUUUUCUCUCUUGUUAUUUUUCUCUCUUUUUUUUUGUAAUUGUGAUUGGCAGAACACACAACGUGGAAUCAUGUCAGGACCACUGAGUUUUUACUCCAAGAAAUGAUCAUCAGAAAUUGAAUUAACUAAUGUAACUAAACAGAAUCAUUAUAAUUAUUAUAUGGAAUCAUUUUUCU